UCCUCCCCGCACCGCGCCAACGUGUCGCCAAGCUCCCUCGUCGCCCGCCUCGUCUUCCCCGCCGCUGGUUCGAGCUCCAUGCCACAGCAGCGUCCGGGACGAGGUCAUCUUCAACCCCCGAACACCGAGCUCCGUCGCGUCGGAUUCCGCCUCGCCCCUGCGCUCCCGUUUCCCACAGGCCUUUCGUGAGCCGCUCGGUGAGCUCCACCCCCUUCUGCUCCCAUCAUUGAAUUGUUUCCACGCCAUAGCUAGCCGAGCGCGACGCGCCUCCACUGCCGCGCUACGGCUCCGCUGUCGAGCUCGUCGUCGCGGUCACCGCACUCGCGGCUCGUCCAACCGCGUAACCAUGCUCCCUGCGCCACCAAGAUCCCGUAGCACUCUCCAGUGCGUGCCCUCGCUGCCCCUAGCUCUGUCCCCGACGAGCCUCGAUUCCAACCAUCCGCCAAUGUGCUCGCGCCGCUCAACUUCGGCCACUCCCGUGCCUGCGGCCAUCACCAGUCAACACGCGCCGCUGCGAGCGUUCGAACGCACCCGGUCCCGCGACGAGUCGUGCCCCGCAGCCCCGCCUUCGGGAUCGCCCGAGCCAUGGCGUCCGCCCGCUCAUCGCCGGCGACGCUGCGGUCCUCCUCCGGCCGAGCCACCUGCAACCUACAUCCCGCUGGCCGCCUCUGUCUGACCCCCGCGUGCGCGUAUGCUGCUGCGCUGCUGCCGCGCCCACUCGCCUCUGGCCUCGCUUUGCCUCGCCUCCGGCCGGCGCUUGGCCGCACCCCGCGCCGCUCGCACAAAGCCCCGUCGUGCCAGCUCGGCGCUGUCGCCACUGCCUGCUAGCUACUGCUGCUCCUACAUGCUGCUGCCUGCUGCAUCUGCUCGCUGCCUGUUGCUACUAGUGCAGCGCUGUUACAGCAACAUUCAGUUACUGUAGCAGUGGCUAGCUUUGCUGCUGUUGCGUUGACUAACCCUUUGUACAGCUUCUGAACAGCGACUAAAUAAUUGUUAACUGGCCUAAUAAAAAUAUGGGCAGAUAGUGCACUUGACAAGCUCCAAGUUACCCCAUUUGACCAAAUUCAAAUAAGGCAUGAAUUAAAUCCUACAAAAAUCACAAAAUGCUAUCUUGUGUUAAAAGGAAUAGAUUUACUCCCUAGCAUUGUGUGUAUUCGUGUUUGCAAUGGCCGAGCGCCCGUGCAGGUGUGGCGUGUGAUGUGUGUGCGUGAGUGCGUGCGUUGUGUGUGUUCUGUAGGUGUGUGUGAUGUGUGUACAGCGUGUGUGUGGCCGUGUGUGGGGCUGCCCCAAAUUAGUUUAGGUCUAAUUUAAUUAGAUAGAUUAGUUUUAGGAUUACUUUUGCUGUUUAGCUAGUACUAGUAUUUAAUUAGUGCUAAGUUACUUUAAUAGUAGAUGACAUGUGGGUCCUCAUUUAGAUAAGUUAGGUUUAUUUAUUUCUUUAGGAAAAUAGUCUAUGACAUGUGGGCCACACAUGCCCUUUUGACUAGUCAAAUUGACUUGGUCAAUUCGGAUUAAACUAAAUAUAAUAAAUCCAGAAAUUUCAGAAAAUACUUAAAACUUUGGAAAAUCAUAAAAAAUUAACCAUAACUCCGAUGAAAAAACUUUGUACAUGGAAGUUGCUCAGAACGACGAGACGAUUCCGGAUACGCAGCCCGUUCGUCCGCCGCACACCCCUAGCAUAGCAAACACGCAACUUUUUCCCUCUGGUUCAUCUGUCCGAAAACGCGAAACACCGGGAAUACUUUCCCGGAUGUUUCCCUCCUUCACCGGUAUCACCUAGUACUGCGCUAGGUCACCCCUAGCACCACGUAUUGCCUUGUUAUGUUUUGUGAUGCUUUGAUAGCUCUGUUAUUUAUUGUGUUCCCCUCGUUACUUCUUUCCGAUAGACCCCGAGACCGCGGUUGAACCAGUGAUCGACUACUUCACCUUCGAGGGUCCGUUUCUAUCUGCAGAGCAACCAGG
RNAcentral lists this long non-coding RNA (1962 nucleotides) under Triticum aestivum (bread wheat). RNAcentral describes it as "long non-coding RNA (TAES_LNC014676)". The record is from RNAcentral. Lineage: Eukaryota; Viridiplantae; Streptophyta; Magnoliopsida; Poales; Poaceae.